This 541-nucleotide long non-coding RNA is filed under the name Pongo abelii (Sumatran orangutan). Its description in RNAcentral is "lincRNA". Lineage: Eukaryota; Metazoa; Chordata; Mammalia; Primates; Hominidae. The record is from RNAcentral.
CAGUGCCAUUUUGUGGGAACUUAGAUCCAAUAUAUCCCUGUUCACUGGUCCCACAAUGCUUAGAAUGAUGCACUGCCCUGAGGAGUUUGACAGGCGUGGCAGUGGAGAGGCGGGAGGGAGGACGAGAAGAGAGGAUUAACAAGUGUCUGUGAGGUGGCAUUUACAUUUAGAAUUUCCUGUCCUUUCAAAGGAAUCUCCAGGGUAGCCAAAGAGUCCAGCUUAAAGGUAGCUAGCCAGAAAAAGUGCCCAAACCACGCAGUGAGAUCACACCAUUGAAGACCCCUCCUUGGCAUAGACUCUACGGCUUUCACAAAUGUGCUGAGCUCCAGAACCUCAGGCUCUGACACCACCCCCAAAGCUGCAGGUCUCCAGGGCUGCUUGGGCCAAAAGGACAUUGACACUGGAUUUAGAGCCCACCAGAUAAUUUGGGAUGAUCUUCUUCAUAUCAAGAUCCUUCACAUCUGCAAAGAUCCUUUUUCCAAACAAGGCUCCAAAUCACCAAACUUCUUUGCCUCUCUGGGAAAACUAAAUGACCCACCAU